AUUGAACGCUGGCGGAAUGCUUUACACAUGCAAGUCGAACGGCAGCACGGGGCAACCUGGUGGCGAGUGGCGAACGGGUGAGUAAUACAUCGGAACGUGCCCAGUCGUGGGGGAUAACGUAGCGAAAGCUACGCUAAUACCGCAUACGAUCUACGGAUGAAAGCGGGGGAUCGCAAGACCUCGCGCGAUUGGAGCGGCCGAUGGCAGAUUAGGUAGUUGGUGGGGUAAAGGCUCACCAAGCCGACGAUCUGGAGCUGGUCUGAGAGGACGACCAGCCACACUGGGACUGAGACAAGGCCCAGACUCCUACGGGAGGCAGCAGUGGGGAAUUUUGGACAAUGGGCGAAAGCCUGAUCCAGCCAUUCCGCGUGCAGGAUGAAGGCCCUCGGGUUGUAAACUGCUUUUGUACGGAACGAAAAGGCUCUGGUUAAUACCUGGGGCUCAUGACGGUACCGUAAGAAUAAGCACCGGCUAACUACGUGCCAGCCGCCGCCGUAA
Molecule: ribosomal RNA, 498 nt
Filed under: uncultured bacterium
Lineage: Bacteria
Description: partial 16S ribosomal RNA
Rfam family: Bacterial small subunit ribosomal RNA
Source: RNAcentral